RNAcentral lists this ribosomal RNA (416 nucleotides) under uncultured bacterium. RNAcentral describes it as "partial 16S ribosomal RNA". It matches the Rfam family "Bacterial small subunit ribosomal RNA", at positions 359 to 772 of the family's 1533-position model. The record is from RNAcentral.
GAUAUUGGUCAAUGGUCGGAAGACUGAACCAGCCAUGCCGCGUGAGGUAGGAAGGCCCUACGGGUCGUAAGCCUCUUUUGACCGGGGACAAGAGCGCCCACGCGAUGGGUGCUUGAGGGUACCGGUGGAAUAAGCGUCGGCUAACUCCGUGCCAGCAGCCGCGGUAAUACGGAGGACGCGAGCGUUAUCCGGAUUCAUUGGGUUUAAAGGGUGCGCAGGCGGCCUGUCAAGUCAGCGGUGAAAGCCCGGGGCCCAACCCCGGAAGUGCCGUUGAUACUGUCGGGCUGGAAUGCGGUCGAGGCGGGCGGAACGUGGCGUGUAGCGGUGAAAUGCGUAGAUAUGCCACAGAACGCCGAUAGCGGAGGCAGCUCGCCAGGCCUGCAUUGACGCUCGGGCACGAAAGCGUGGGGAUCGAA